This 220-nucleotide long non-coding RNA is filed under the name Homo sapiens (human). RNAcentral describes it as "HSALNT0014559". The record is from RNAcentral. Lineage: Eukaryota; Metazoa; Chordata; Mammalia; Primates; Hominidae.
UGAUGCUGGUCAUUGCGUUCUUCAACUGGGAUGUUGCAAAUUAGAAACUGAGGGAGAGCUGACCUUUCCUGCAUAUGAAAGAAGAGAGUGGAGGGGCAGAGAUACAGAAUGGGGAAGAACAAGUUGGAACCAGAAAACUGAUUUCAGGGUCUGGCACUUGAAUGUCUGAUUUUGGAGAAAGAGAAGACACUGGUCGGCCCUUUCUUCAAAUAAGAGCAGU